UUCGGGGUACUCGAGUGGCGAACGGGUGAGUAACACGUGGGUGAUCUGCCCUGCACUUUGGGAUAAGCCUGGGAAACUGGGUCUAAUACCGAAUAUGACCACGCGCUUCAUGGUGUGUGGUGGAAAGCUUUUGCGGUGUGGGAUGGGCCCGCGGCCUAUCAGCUUGUUGGUGGGGUAAUGGCCUACCAAGGCGACGACGGGUAGCCGGCCUGAGAGGGUGACCGGCCACACUGGGACUGAGAUACGGCCCAGACUCCUACGGGAGGCAGCAGUGGGGAAUAUUGCACAAUGGGCGCAAGCCUGAUGCAGCGACGCCGCGUGAGGGAUGACGGCCUUCGGGUUGUAAACCUCUUUCAAUAGGGACGAAGCGCAAGUGACGGUACCUAUAGAAGAAGGACCGGCCAACUACGUGCCAGCAGCCGCGGUAAUACGUAGGGUCCGAGCGUUGUCCGGAAUUACUGGGCGUAAAGAGCUCGUAGGUGGUUUGUCGCGUUGUUCGUGAAAACUCACAGCUUAACUGUGGGCGUGCGGGCGAUACGGGCAGACUAGAGUACUGCAGGGGAGACUGGAAUUCCUGGUGUAGCGGUGGAAUGCGCAGAUAUCAGGAGGAACACCGGUGGCGAAGGCGGGUCUCUGGGCAGUAACUGACGCUGAGGAGCGAAAGCGUGGGGAGCGAACAGGAUUAGAUACCCUGGUAGUCCACGCCGUAAACGGUGGGUACUAGGUGUGGGUUUCCUUCCUUGGGAUCCGUGCCGUAGCUAACGCAUUAAGUACCCCGCCUGGGGAGUACGGCCGCAAGGCUAAAACUCAAAGGAAUUGACGGGGGCCCGCACAAGCGGCGGAGCAUGUGGAUUAAUUCGAUGCAACGCGAAGAACCUUACCUGGGUUU
This 889-nucleotide ribosomal RNA is filed under the name Mycolicibacterium fortuitum subsp. acetamidolyticum. RNAcentral describes it as "bacterial SSU rRNA". It matches the Rfam family "Bacterial small subunit ribosomal RNA", at positions 81 to 982 of the family's 1533-position model. Lineage: Bacteria; Bacillati; Actinomycetota; Actinomycetes; Mycobacteriales; Mycobacteriaceae. The record is from RNAcentral.